Molecule: long non-coding RNA, 917 nt
Filed under: Heterocephalus glaber (naked mole-rat)
Lineage: Eukaryota; Metazoa; Chordata; Mammalia; Rodentia; Bathyergidae
Description: lncRNA (ENSHGLG00000034576.1)
Source: RNAcentral
CUGGUACCAAAAAAAAAAACAAAAAACACCAGAGAAUUUUUCUGUUACCUUGGUGAGUUUUAUGAGGUUAAUAUGAAAAAACAAACGAGGAAGGCUAAGGAAAUUCUGGAAUAAAGGAGCAGCAAGGGCUCGAUCCCACUCUGUGUCAGCAUCUCCCGUGGGGCUGCAGCCAGGCACCCUGUGUGGAGCUCAUCACAGACAGAUCAGCACGCAGUGGCGACCUGAACACAGGGGGAGGGACAAGUGUGCGGGGUAAGUCGCAGGUCGACAGUGCCGGGCUGCCUGCUCUUCCGUUUCCACCCUGCAGGCCUGGUGGCAAAGAUGGCUGAUGCCUACUGAACCUGUCCAGCGACCCUGGAGCAUGGGGGCCUGGGCAGGGUGGGGUCACCUCCAGACAGAGGCGAUGGACCCCAGCGAGCGUGCUGAAGAGCCUGCGACUUGGCGACAGAACCUCGGACAGCGGAGGUUAUGUGAGCAGAGGACUCGAGCAGGGGUCUGCACAAACCAUCACACAGCAUUGUUCACAAGCCUAAGAGCAGACAGUGGAGAUCCCUGCUGAGGGACAGCCACACACCCUCCUGCCGCACGGGCGGAGCAGCUUCCUGUGAGAAGGAGUCGGUCUUGGCCCCCCGUGCAGAGCAGCCACCCCCAGACGCCAGCCCUGCACUGAGCGCUGUACCUCAGUGUCUCAAUCUGCAGGCCCGCACCAUAAAGUAGGGCAGUGGCUGCUGAGGGCUGGAGGGGCCUGGGGGAAGUAGGGUGUCUUUGUCCGUUCCUGAUGCUAUAACAAACAUCAAGAUGGGUGAGUUCCAAACAGCAGUGGCAUCCUCCUCACCAAUCUGGGCUCUGUCUGGGGAGGGCCUGUUUUGCCCUGGGUGGGUGCCAGGCCACAGGCCUCUGCAGGACGCAGUCAAGGC